Long non-coding RNA from Rhagoletis pomonella (apple maggot), 280 nucleotides. RefSeq lists it as uncharacterized. The record is from RefSeq and is a predicted model, not a curated record. NCBI's taxonomy places the organism in Eukaryota, Metazoa, Arthropoda, Insecta, Diptera, Tephritidae. The transcript has 3 exons.
UUGUAUAUACCAGCUUUCAUUGGAUAUCACCCAUCGCAACUUUGAAACAGUGCAUUGGGUCAAAUUAAUACGCUGACCGAAAAAACCGUUCGCAUCUCUGGCAAUUUGAUGGAGCAACGGGAAGUUACCUAAUCGAGUCCACAACUUCUAUAGACUGCAUCUAGGCCUAGCGGCAGUAUUAUGUACAAAUUGCAUACGAUUCCAUACCGCCAAAAGCAAAUUUAAAUCGUGUAUAAAAACAGUUAUUUAUGUGCUUUAAAGCGGCGCAAAUGUUGUUCAC